GAUGAACGCUGGCGGCGUGCCUAAUACAUGCAAGUCGAGCGAACAGAUGAGGAGCUUGCUCCUCUGACGUUAGCGGCGGACGGGUGAGUAACACGUGGAUAACCUACCUAUAAGACUGGGAUAACUUCGGGAAACCGGAGCUAAUACCGGGUAAUAUAUUGAACCGCAUGGUUCAAUAGUGAAAGACGGUUUUGCUGUCACUUAUAGAUGGAUCCGCGCCGCAUUGGCUAGUUGGUAAGGUAACGGCUUACCAAGGCAACGAUGCGUAGCCGACCUGAGAGGGUGAUCGGCCACACUGGAACUGAGACACGGUCCAGACUCCUACGGGAGGCAGCAGUAGGGAAUCUUCCGCAAUGGGCGAAAGCCUGACGGAGCAACGCCGCGUGAGUGAUGAAGGUCUUCGGAUCGUAAAACUCUGUUAUUAGGGAAGAACAAAUGUGUAAGUAACUAUGCACGUCUUGACGGUACCUAAUCAGAAAGCCACGGCUAACUACGUG
Molecule: ribosomal RNA, 497 nt
Filed under: uncultured bacterium
Lineage: Bacteria
Description: partial 16S ribosomal RNA
Rfam family: Bacterial small subunit ribosomal RNA
Source: RNAcentral